AAGUACGAACGGUAACAGGAAGCAGCUUGCUGCUUCGCUGACGAGUGGCGGACGGGUGAGUAAUGUCUGGGAAACUGCCUGAUGGAGGGGGAUAACUACUGGAAACGGUGGCUAAUACCGCAUAACGUCGCAAGACCAAAGAGGGGGACCUUCGGGCCUCUUGCCAUCAGAUGUGCCCAGAUGGGAUUAGCUAGUUGGUGAGGUAACGGCUCACCAAGGCGACGAUCCCUAGCUGGUCUGAGAGGAUGACCAGCCACACUGGAACUGAGACACGGUCCAGACUCCUACGGGAGGCAGCAGUGGGGAAUAUUGCACAAUGGGCGCAAGCCUGAUGCAGCCAUGCCGCGUGUAUGAAGAAGGCCUUCGGGUUGUAAAGUACUUUCAGC
RNAcentral lists this ribosomal RNA (386 nucleotides) under Salmonella enterica. RNAcentral's name for it is "bacterial SSU rRNA". It matches the Rfam family "Bacterial small subunit ribosomal RNA", at positions 59 to 440 of the family's 1533-position model. Lineage: Bacteria; Pseudomonadati; Pseudomonadota; Gammaproteobacteria; Enterobacterales; Enterobacteriaceae. The record is from RNAcentral.